RNAcentral lists this ribosomal RNA (356 nucleotides) under Clostridioides difficile. Its description in RNAcentral is "bacterial LSU rRNA". It matches the Rfam family "Bacterial large subunit ribosomal RNA", at positions 2497 to 2855 of the family's 2925-position model. Lineage: Bacteria; Bacillati; Bacillota; Clostridia; Peptostreptococcales; Peptostreptococcaceae. The record is from RNAcentral.
AGUCCACAUCGACGGGGAGGUUUGGCACCUCGAUGUCGGCUCAUCACAUCCUGGGGCUGUAGUAGGUCCCAAGGGUUGGGCUGUUCGCCCAUUAAAGUGGUACGCGAGCUGGGUUCAGAACGUCGUGAGACAGUUCGGUCCCUAUCCGUCGCAGGCGUAGGAAAUUUGAGAAGACCUGUCCUUAGUACGAGAGGACCGGGAUGGACGUACCUCUGGUGUACCAGUUGUCCUGCCAAGGGCAUGGCUGGGUAGCUAUGUACGGAAUGGAUAAGCGCUGAAAGCAUCUAAGCGCGAAGCCAACUUCAAGAUAAGAUUUCCCACCGCAAGGGUAAGACCCCAGAAAGACUAUCUGGUUG